Phoenix dactylifera (date palm) is the source of this 2300-nucleotide RNA transcript. RefSeq lists it as uncharacterized. NCBI's taxonomy places the organism in Eukaryota, Viridiplantae, Streptophyta, Magnoliopsida, Arecales, Arecaceae. The record is from RefSeq and is a predicted model, not a curated record.
GGAGGCCUUUUCCUCCUCCCAAAGACCCCUUUUUUGUCUUCCUCCCCUUUCCCCUUCUUCUUCCUCCUCCGUUCUCCGCAAUGCAAGAAGCCUCCGAGGAGUGAUAACCCAUCUCCCAGCUGGUCGAUCCGCUGGGGGAGAAGAAUAGAAGGAAGGAAAAGACUCAACGGAUGAUCCUAAAAAUGGAGGAUCAGAGGAGAAAGGAGAGAGGCAGGCAACUCGAGAUCCAGAUGAUGAAGGAAAAGAGGAUCCAGCAUCAGGUGGGAUAUGGCUCCUCCUCAUCCUCCAAUACGCCGCAGAAUUCGAAUUUCGAGGGUGUUGAAUUUUUCAAUCCAUAUACAAGAGGAGUUGUCAGAUGAACAUCCAACAACUGAAUGGUCAGGUUCUUUCUAAAGAGGUUGCGUAUGAGAUUAGGAAGUGGUAUCUAGCUAAACUUUUCAAAUGUAAGCAUCACAUAAUUGCCAGUAACAGCAGUUAAUUUUAUGUUUUAGCUGGAGCUUUCACAACACCACAAUCAAAGUUGGAUUUCAUUAUAAUGCUUAUCUGUAUUCAUACUAAUCCAAGAGGAGGAAUUUGCGUAAUGAUUCGUAAAAAUGGUCACUGGAUGAGAGUUAACCUUCCGUAUGGGGAUGUGAGCAUGAACAGCUUAUACUGCAUGAUGACAAGAUAUAUUGAUAAGUUGUUAAAGCGGAUUAUAUGUUAUACUACUAGAUUAAGAUAUAAGAUUACAACUCUUUAUCUCUACAAAUUUUAAGUGAUGUAGAAAAUCAAGAGAUAACAUCGAAUAUUGAACAGUUAAUGUUUGAAUGGAUUCCUGCAAAAUCCUAUCCCUAGUUGAAUUUCUUGGUGCUAACUUUUAAUCUCCAGCCCUAAGAAAUUCAACCGGCGGUAAGAUUUUGUAGGAAUCUAUUCAAACAUUGACUGCUCGAUAUUCAAUAUUAUCUCUAGAUUGUCUGCAUUACUUAAAACUUGUACAGAUGAAGAGUUGCAUUCUCAUAUUUUAAUCUCGUAUUAUGACAUAUAAUCUGCUUUGAUUACUUAUCCACAUAUCUUGUCAUCAUGUAUAAUUAAGCUGUUCAUGCCCACAUCCUCAUACAGAAGGUUAGCUCUCGUCUUGAUCAUUUUCAUGUACUUAUUACAUGAAUCCCUUUUAUUUGAUCAGUAUGAUUGUAGAUAAGUACCAUAAUGGAAUCCAGCUCUAAUGGCGGUAUUGUAAAAGCUCCUGUUAAAACAUAAUACUGGUUGCUAUUAACAGAUAUCAGUAAUUGUGUGGCUCUUGCAUUUCAAAGAUUUAGAAAAUAAAUAUCGUUUGUUGAUCUCAUAAGCAACCACUAAAUCUAGUGUGUCCGGCCGUGCCAUCUACAUCAACAACGAAGACCAUUGGAUCUCAAUGCAUAUGAUCUGCCCUGGAGAUGAAGCUUGGAAGGUGUAUGCCUUUAAGAAGCAUGAGCGAUUUACUUCUAUAAGUGCUAUGACUUUAGUCGGAAUGCAGGUUCUGUGCAUUGAUUGUAAGAAAGGGAGGUUUGUCACUCUUGAUCUGCUAGAAAAGAGUUGGAUGUUCUUCUCACAUCACCAUAACCUUAUAGGUGGUUCGAAAAACAUUGUCGAAGGUGAAGGGGAAAUUGUGAGGGUCUAUUUUGUGUCUCCAUGCUUCAGCUCUUUAAACUUCUCUGAACUGAAUAUCUGGAUGAUCUUGAGUUGGAGAAAACCAGUUGUUGCUCAUUUUGCAUGGAGGAACAGGGGAAGGAAGGUUUCCACUUUAAGACCGAAUGAAUAUUGGGAGCCAAGAUGUCUGGACCUUGAGGCAGCAAAACGGAAGAGAUUCAUCUGGGAAGAACCAACUGAUCCUGAUAUGGAGUCAAAUGUCUAUAUCCACAACUUGGCGGAUGGCAGCUAUGAAAGUCUACCGCCAAAUUCAUUCCCUGCUAAGCGCGUGGCAUGGAUCUUGUCAGCUAACAAAGAACUCUUUCUCAAUCUGUGGGCCAUCAGCUCUUUCUGUUUGCAUGGUCAUUCUAUGUAAAAAGUCAUUGACCUAGAUUGUGGUGUUUUAGGGGCUUUUGCCUAAACAGAUGCGAGUAUGGAGGGGGAUGUGACACAUGACACAUUGCUCUCUAUCUUGCAAUCCAACUGAUCAAAUAGAUUUCAGGAUCGCGUUUUGGCAUUUUGUUUCAUUUGGCCGACCGUUUUCUACAUUUCUAACUGGUUCGCAUUUAUACAUUUGAUGAUACGCUGCAUCGCAUGAACUGAUGCAUUUUAUUGAGACGUGUGGGACUUUGUGUCCACGCAUUUAUCUGCCUUCA